RNAcentral lists this ribosomal RNA (995 nucleotides) under uncultured bacterium. Its description in RNAcentral is "bacterial SSU rRNA". It matches the Rfam family "Bacterial small subunit ribosomal RNA", at positions 356 to 1376 of the family's 1533-position model. The record is from RNAcentral.
GGGGAAUAUUGCACAAUGGGGGAAACCCUGAUGCAGCGACGCCGCGUGGAGGAAGAAGGUCUUCGGAUUGUAAACUCCUGUUGUUGAGGAAGAUAAUGACGGUACUCAACAAGGAAGUGACGGCUAACUACGUGCCAGCAGCCGCGGUAAAACGUAGGUCACAAGCGUUGUCCGGAAUUACUGGGUGUAAAGGGAGCGCAGGCGGGAAGACAAGUUGGAAGUGAAAUCCAUGGGCUCAACCCAUAAACUGCUUUCAAAACUGUUUUUCUUGAGUAGUGCAGAGGUAGGCGGAAUUCCCGGUGUAGCGGUGGAAUGCGUAGAUAUCGGGAGGAACACCAGUGGCGAAGGCGGCCUACUGGGCACCAACUGACGCUGAGGCUCGAAAGUGUGGGUAGCAAACAGGAUUAGAUACCCUGGUAGUCCACACCGUAAACGAUGAUUACUAGGUGUUGGAGGAUUGACCCCUUCAGUGCCGCAGUUAACACAAUAAGUAAUCCACCUGGGGAGUACGACCGCAAGGUUGAAACUCAAAGGAAUUGACGGGGGCCCGCACAAGCAGUGGAGUAUGUGGUUUAAUUCGACGCAACGCGAAGAACCUUACCAAGUCUUGACAUCCUGCGACGGUGCUGGAAACAGUGCUUUCCUUCGGGACGCAGAGACAGGUGGUGCAUGGUUGUCGUCAGCUCGUGUCGUGAGAUGUUGGGUUAAGUCCCGCAACGAGCGCAACCCUUACUGUCAGUUACUACGCAAGAGGACUCUGGCAGGACUGCCGUUGACAAAACGGAGGAAGGUGGGGAUGACGUCAAAUCAUCAUGCCCUUUAUGACUUGGGCUACACACGUACUACAAUGGCGUUAAACAAAGAGAAGCAAGACCGCGAGGUGGAGCAAAACUCAGAAACAACGUCCCAGUUCGGACUGCAGGCUGCAACUCGCCUGCACGAAGUCGGAAUUGCUAGUAAUCGUGGAUCAGCAUGCCACGGUGAAUACGUUCCCG